UUGAUUUGAAUGUCCCAAGUAGGCAUCAUCGACAUCUUCUCACCACUUUCCUAGCAAUAGAAAAAGAGACAAAACAAAAAACAUUAAACAGUCCAAUAACAAAUCGAUAAACAAGGACCUAGUUCAUGGGCACAUGGAACGGUGGACUUAGGACACAAUUAACGACAUCUAGUUUAUAGCAACCAUUGAAGAGACACGUAACAACAAGGUAAUGAAAACAUCUACUGGACAUAACAACGAGCACGACAAAUAUAGAAGCGGCAGUUGCCCAGAUUUUCCUAUGCAACUAUGUGGGAGCACAUUCCGCAGAACACGCU
RNAcentral lists this long non-coding RNA (317 nucleotides) under Hordeum vulgare. Its description in RNAcentral is "long non-coding RNA (HVUL_LNC003476)". The record is from RNAcentral. Lineage: Eukaryota; Viridiplantae; Streptophyta; Magnoliopsida; Poales; Poaceae.